RNAcentral lists this ribosomal RNA (253 nucleotides) under uncultured bacterium. Its description in RNAcentral is "partial 16S ribosomal RNA". It matches the Rfam family "Bacterial small subunit ribosomal RNA", at positions 524 to 776 of the family's 1533-position model. The record is from RNAcentral.
UACGAAGGGGGCUAGCGUUGCUCGGAAUCACUGGGCGUAAAGCGCACGUAGGCGGAUUGCUAAGUCAGGGGUGAAAUCCUGGAGCUCAACUCCAGAACUGCCUUUGAUACUGGCGACCUUGAGUCCGGGAGAGGUGAGUGGAACUGCGAGUGUAGAGGCGAAAUUCGUAGAUAUUCGCAAGAACACCAGUGGCGAAGGCGGCUCACUGGCCCGGUACUGACGCUGAGGUGCGAAAGCGUGGGGAGCAAACAGG